CUACCCUUAGGACGGGGACAACAGAAGGAAACUUCUGCUAAUCCCGGAUGAGCCGGAAGGUCAAAGAUUUAUCGCCUAGGGAUGAGCUCGCGUCUGAUUAGCUAGUUGGUAAGGUAAAGGCUUACCAAGGCAACGAUCAGUAGCUGGUCUGAGAGGAUGAUCAGCCACACUGGGACUGAGACACGGCCCAGACUCCUACGGGAGGCAGCAGUGGGGAAUUUUCCGCAAUGGGCGAAAGCCUGACGGAGCAAGACCGCGUGGGGGAGGAAAGCCUUUGGGUUGUAAACCCCUUUUCUCAGGGAAGAAGAAAGUGACGGUACCUGAGGAAUCAGCCUCGGCUAACUCCGUGCCAGCAGCCGCGGUAAUACGGAGGAGGCAAGCGUUAUCCGGAAUGAUUGGGCGUAAAGCGUCCGUAGGUGGCUGUUCAAGUCUGCUGUUAAAUCCAGUAGCUUAACUACUGACAAGCAGUGGAAACUGAAGAGCUCGAGUGCGGUAGGGGCAGAGGGAAUUCCUGGUGUAGCGGUGAAAUGCGUAGAGAUCAGGAAGAACACCGGUGGCGAAAGCGCUCUGUUGGGCCCGCAACUGACACUCAGGGACGAAAGCUAGGGGAGCGAAUGGGAUUAGAUCCCCAGUAGUC
This 637-nucleotide ribosomal RNA is filed under the name uncultured Lyngbya sp. RNAcentral's name for it is "bacterial SSU rRNA". It matches the Rfam family "Bacterial small subunit ribosomal RNA", at positions 126 to 795 of the family's 1533-position model. The record is from RNAcentral. Lineage: Bacteria; Bacillati; Cyanobacteriota; Cyanophyceae; Oscillatoriales; Microcoleaceae.